UGGGGAAUUUUGGACAAUGGGCGAAAGCCUGAUCCAGCCAUGCCGCGUGCAGGAUGAAGGCCUUCGGGUUGUAAACUGCUUUUGUACGGAACGAAAAGACUCUGGUUAAUACCUGGGGUCCAUGACGGUACCGUAAGAAUAAGCACCGGCUAACUACGUGCCAGCAGCCGCGGUAAUACGUAGGGUGCAAGCGUUAAUCGGAAUUACUGGGCGUAAAGCGUGCGCAGGCGGUUAUAUAAGACAGAUGUGAAAUCCCCGGGCUCAACCUGGGAACUGCAUUUGUGACUGUAUAGCUAGAGUACGGCAGAGGGGGAUGGAAUUCCGCGUGUAGCAGUGAAAUGCGUAGAUAUGCGGAGGAACACCGAUGGCNAAGGCAAUCCCCUGGGCCUGUACUGACGCUCAUGCACGAAAGCGUGGGGAGCAAACAGGAUUAGAUACCCCUGGUAGUCCACGCCCUAAACGAUGUCAACUGGGUUGUUGGGUCUUCACUGACUCAGUAACGAAGCUAACGCGU
Molecule: ribosomal RNA, 514 nt
Filed under: uncultured bacterium
Lineage: Bacteria
Description: partial 16S ribosomal RNA
Rfam family: Bacterial small subunit ribosomal RNA
Source: RNAcentral